RNAcentral lists this ribosomal RNA (504 nucleotides) under uncultured bacterium. Its description in RNAcentral is "partial 16S ribosomal RNA". It matches the Rfam family "Bacterial small subunit ribosomal RNA", at positions 29 to 523 of the family's 1533-position model. The record is from RNAcentral.
AUUGAACGCUGGCGGCAGGCCUAACACAUGCAAGUCGAACGGUAGCACAGAGAGCUUGCUCUCGGGUGACGAGUGGCGGACGAGUGAGUAACGUCUGGGAAACUGCCCGAUGGAGGGGGAUAACUACUGGAAACGGUAGCUAAUACCGCAUAACGUCACAAGACCAAAGUGGGGGACCUUCGGGCCUCACACCAUCGGAUGUGCCCAGAUGGGAUUAGCUAGUAGGUGGGGUAAUGGCUCACCUAGGCGACGAUCCCUAGCAGGUCUGAGAGGAUGACCAGCCACACUGGAACUGAGACACGGUCCAGACUCCUACGGGAGGCAGCAGUGGGGAAUAUUGCACAAUGGGCGCAAGCCUGAUGCAGCCAUGCCGCGUGUAUGAAGAAGGCCUUCGGGUUGUAAAGUACUUUCAGCGGGGAGGAAGGCGGUGAAGUUAAUAGCUUCACCGAUUGACGUUACCCGCAGAAGAAGCACCGGCUAACUCCGUGCCAGCAGCCGCCGCCG